GUGGCGGGUGCUAAUAAUGCAGUCGAGCGAACAGACGAGGAGCUUGCUCCUCUGACGUUAGCGGCGGACGGGUGAGUAACACGUGGAUAACCUACCUAUAAGACUGGGAUAACUUCGGGAAACCGGAGCUAAUACCGGAUAAUAUAUUGAACCGCAUGGUUCAAUAGUGAAAGACGGUUUUGCUGUCACUUAUAGAUGGAUCCGCGCCGCAUUAGCUAGUUGGUAAGGUAACGGCUUACCAAGGCAACGAUGCGUAGCCGACCUGAGAGGGUGAUCGGCCACACUGGAACUGAGACACGGUCCAGACUCCUACGGGAGGCAGCAGUAGGGAAUCUUCCGCAAUGGGCGAAAGCCUGACGGAGCAACGCCGCGUGAGUGAUGAAGGUCUUCGGAUCGUAAAACUCUGUUAUUAGGGAAGAACAAAUGUGUAAGUAACUAUGCACGUCUUGACGGUACCUAAUCAGAAAGCCACGGCUAACUACGUGCCAGCAGCCGCGGUAAUACGUAGGUGGCAAGCGUUAUCCGGAAUUAUUGGGCGUAAAGCGCGCGUAGGCGGUUUUUUAAGUCUGAUGUGAAAGCCCACGGCUCAACCGUGGAGGGUCAUUGGAAACUGGAAAACUUGAGUGCAGAAGAGGAAAGUGGAAUUCCAUGUGUAGCGGUGAAAUGCGCAGAGAUAUGGAGGAACACCAGUGGCGAAGGCGACUUUCUGGUCUGUAACUGACGCUGAUGUGCGAAAGCGUGGGGAUCAAACAGGAUUAGAUACCCUGGUAGUCCACGCCGUAAACGAUGAGUGCUAAGUGUUAGGGGGUUUCCGCCCCUUAGUGCUGCAGCUAACGCAUUAAGCACUCCGCCUGGGGAGUACGACCGCAAGGUUGAAACUCAAAGGAAUUGACGGGGACCCGCACAAGCGGUGGAGCAUGUGGUUUAAUUCGAAGCAACGCGAAGAACCUUACCAAAUCUUGACAUCCUCUGACCCUCCUAAAAAUAAAGUUUUCCCCUUCGGGGGACAAAAUGACAGGGGGUGCAUGGUUGCCCCCACUCCGGGCCGGAGAAGUUGGGUUAAGUCCCGAACGAGGGAACCCUUAAGUUAAUUGCACCUUAAGUGGGGCCUCAAUUGAUGCCGGGAAACCCCCGAAAAGGGGGGAGAACCAAAACCUAGCCCCUAAAUUGGGGCACCCGGGCCUGGGGAAAAAAGGGGGAAGCACGCGGGAGCACUCCCCAGGAUUUUCCUAUUGAAGGAGG
This 1242-nucleotide ribosomal RNA is filed under the name Staphylococcus sp. RNAcentral's name for it is "bacterial SSU rRNA". It matches the Rfam family "Bacterial small subunit ribosomal RNA", at positions 39 to 1176 of the family's 1533-position model. Lineage: Bacteria; Bacillati; Bacillota; Bacilli; Caryophanales; Staphylococcaceae. The record is from RNAcentral.